UGAUCCGUCACACAUACCUAACCGACGCUCAAUCCAAAUCUGCCGACCUCGCUGCCACAAUCCCAGCCGCAUCAACACCGCCAUACCGGAGCAAAUAGCCACCAUGUGCGCCGCCGUGACUGUUUUCGAACAAACACUCGCCUGACAAGUCCCGGUGGUUCUUCUUCGUCACGUUUCCAACCCUAAUUUGCAGGUUAUUUGGUUUCGACGAACAUAAGCCUAAAAAUCUAACGGUAACGAUUGGAUUGACAUUUUAGCAUCGGUUGAUGAUGCAGACGUUUCUAGUAUGGUAAGGAUUAGUGAAUGGGAGUUUUGUCAUCUACUCAGCUAGUUUAUAGGCAAUAAUUAAGGUUUGAAGUACUUAAUUCUACACAGAUUAGUAGUUUUUCUAGGUUGUGCAUCAGUAGGCAUGUUAAACAUGGAUAUGUUGGAAGUAAUUUGAGUGUUGCUGCUAUGAAUUCGGUGUGUGUGUUGAUGCAAUGGAGGUUUCUUAGAGAGAGAAAGAGGAAAGAGAGAAGGGACUUUAGGUGGGGUUUUACUAAUAGUGGGGUCUACAUUUAGUAUUUUAAUUUUAUUUUUUAACAGUAAGGGUAUUUUGUAAUUUUACAUCCACUUAACACCAUAAACUAACCUCCAUUCAUGUUAAGGACUAUUCGAGUAACAAGUCGUCAAACCACAGGGAGCAUACAUGUAAUUUUAAAAAGUUGGGGACUAAAGGUGAAAUUUCACAAAACCACAGGGACUAUCCGUGCAUUUUACUCAAAAAUAUUUUUAUAACUCAAGAUUUUGUAAGACACGAUGAAACGUAUUUCUCAAUAACAAAAUUCUAAAUUAUUCAUACAUUUAGUAGAUUGUUUUUAUACAUUUAGUAGAUUGUUUUCGAGAUACGAGAUUAGUGUUUUAAGUACUUAAACUUAUUCGCGUGUCCCACCUCAGAAUAUACUCCCGUAUCCAGUCUUCUAUAUUCAGUCUUACAGGUGAAUGUACACUAAUGAUAUCUAUAAACGGGUAGUGCGAGACCAUGAGAUCUCAGGUUAGAACUUCUGUUCAGACAAAGAGAUGAUGGCUCGUCUUUAGAUGUGUCCCGUUUGGGGAUCUUUUCUUCAACAGCACAUGAUUAGCAUUUUUCAAUGUUUCAUCAUUUUUUAUGCUGAGGGUAAGCUUUAAGAUUAAAGCAGUGCAGAGUAUUACACGAGGACUAGGCUAUUGCUUCCGCAAAAUCAGAAGUCCUGGUAUAAUACCCCAGAUAUCAUCACGUACAAAGACCUAGUAUGUCAGAAAUAGAGUCUUUCAAACAGGAUUUCAGGGUUACCUAUAUAUCCGAGAGAUGUUCCCCACGUAAUAAGCAAGUAUUUGAUAUUUAGGUUUAUAUCUCGAAAACAAUCUACUAAAUGUAUAAAAACCUACUGGCAUAUCAUCAGUGAGACCGUUUAUCACAUUUAACUUUCCAAUUCUUUAGCGUGUUGUGAUUGUCUACUGAUGUACUAUCAUUUCCUCUUUUUCUCAACAAAACUCGUUUUUGAUUUUUCAAUGUUUUUGGAUUUUGGAUUUUAUCAUGUUUUUGGCUUUUUCAAAUUUUCUAAUGUUUUUGGAUUUUCUGAAAUUUCUUACUCCCCCUAAAAUUCAAAACCAUUUAAAGAAAAUUUGACAAACCGAGGUGAAUUGCUUCAGUUCUCCAUUCACUUGGCAUAAACAAUCAGAACUCCCCCUGAAAACAAACUAUUUUCCCAUUAUGAUUUCAAAACACUUAAGUUUGUUUUAAUCAAAAUGGUUUU
RNAcentral lists this long non-coding RNA (1775 nucleotides) under Helianthus annuus (common sunflower). RNAcentral describes it as "hypothetical non coding rna". The record is from RNAcentral. Lineage: Eukaryota; Viridiplantae; Streptophyta; Magnoliopsida; Asterales; Asteraceae.